Formica exsecta is the source of this 337-nucleotide long non-coding RNA. RefSeq lists it as uncharacterized. The transcript is spliced from 2 exons. NCBI's taxonomy places the organism in Eukaryota, Metazoa, Arthropoda, Insecta, Hymenoptera, Formicidae. The record is from RefSeq and is a predicted model, not a curated record.
CAUCAUUUUCUUCCCGGCACCAUCCGGCAUCCGGCAAUCCGGCAUCCGGCCGCCAGUCGGAUCUCUUCCCCCAGUCCCCCAAUUCCCGUUUGAUUAGAUGUGAUAGUGAUAGUUUGAUAGUGUGAUUAGGUACUGCCGGACAGUUGAUUGUAACACAGCGUGAAUCUCAAGUCAGAUUAGGAUUCACGAUAUCUAAAAGAUAUCCAUGAAAUAAAAGAGGAAAAACUGUGUGCUCGUGUGUGAAUUUGAUUAGAGAAAAUCCUUUCUUUCUUGGAUUAAUUUGCGGCCUGUAGAAUGGAAACGGUUACUAGCAACGAAACGGUUAUCGCUUCUGAGG